AGCAGCCGCGGUAAUUCCAGCUCCAAUAGCGUAUAUUAAAGUUGUUGCAGUUAAAAAGCUCGUAGUUGAAUUUCGGGGUCAUCAGGUUGGUCGUGCCAACGGUAUGCACUGGCCUUGGUGAUCCCUCCUUCUUGAAGAACCGUGAUGCCAUUAAUUUGGUGCUGCGGGGAAACAGGACUGUUACUUUGAAAAAAUUAGAGUGUUUAAAGCAAGCUAACGCUUGAAUACAUUAGCAUGGAAUAAUAGAAUAGGACGUUCGAUCCUAUUUUGUUGGUUUCUAGGGUUGACGUAAUGAUUAAUAGGGAUAGUUGGGGGCAUUAGUAUUCAAUUGUCAGAGGUGAAAUUCUUGGAUUUAUUGAAGACUAACUACUGCGAAAGCAUUUGCCAAGGAUGUUUUCAUUAAUCAAGAACGAAAGUUAGGGGAUCGAAGACGAUCAGAUACCGUCGUAGUCUUAACCAUAAACUAUGCCGACUAGGGAUCGGAUGAUGUUAAUUUUUAAUGACUCAUUCGGCGCCUUAC
RNAcentral lists this ribosomal RNA (520 nucleotides) under uncultured Glomus. RNAcentral describes it as "SSU rRNA". It matches the Rfam family "Eukaryotic small subunit ribosomal RNA", at positions 569 to 1091 of the family's 1831-position model. Lineage: Eukaryota; Fungi; Glomeromycota; Glomeromycetes; Glomerales; Glomeraceae. The record is from RNAcentral.